Molecule: small nucleolar RNA, 132 nt
Organism: Acomys russatus (golden spiny mouse)
Lineage: Eukaryota; Metazoa; Chordata; Mammalia; Rodentia; Muridae
Product: small nucleolar RNA SNORA17
Exons: 1
Source: RefSeq, a predicted model, not a curated record
AUUGUCCCUCAAGGCAUUGCAGGUGUGGAUGCUGUGUUACUUGUGCAUCAGUAGGUGGCAGAGAGGACAGAGGCUGUGUCUAUUCUCAGUGUUCUGACCUGUGAAGAGAUGAAUGAUUAGCAGCCUAACAUU